Molecule: ribosomal RNA, 417 nt
Filed under: uncultured bacterium
Lineage: Bacteria
Description: partial 16S ribosomal RNA
Source: RNAcentral
AUUCGCAGGAAGAGCCCAGGAUAGUUUCAUCCUUCGGAACAGCAUCGGUGAGUUUUAUCAUUCGGUACAGAAAAUCCUUUUUCAAAAAAUGGUAUUUCAAUCAUGAUCGAAUAGUUUGCAGUUCAGAAGAUGUUAAUUGAGUUAACAAAUCAGAACAGUUAAUGACUUUAACACUGGCAGAGCAUUUUGAAUAAAUCGCGGGACCAUUGCUUUGUUGAAUAAAUUUGGGAAGCCAUUCCGGUGCGGGCCUCUUCGGGAAGGGCCCAGGGUGCGAAAGUGUGAUGUAUUACAAGGCGAUUAAAAUGGGUAGAGCCAGGCUUUUCCCAGUCACGGGGUAAUACCAGGGUUUUCCCAGACUUCGAGCUGUAAAACGACGGCUCCUGAAGAGUACAAGGGUAACAGGGAAUCGAAUAGAGG